Molecule: long non-coding RNA, 963 nt
Organism: Erythranthe guttata (spotted monkey flower)
Lineage: Eukaryota; Viridiplantae; Streptophyta; Magnoliopsida; Lamiales; Phrymaceae
Source: RefSeq, a predicted model, not a curated record
AAUAUUUCAAUUCUUUAAAUUAUUUAAAAAUAUCAUAAUAUUAUUAUCACUCCAAAAAAAAAAAUGCAUUCAAGAAAGGCAGUUAGUAUAAUUAUCUACUUGUUUAUAAUAAUAGCCAGCUGCUUUACCUUAAGUCUGGAAGCUUCUAGAAUUCUCAGCAAGAAGACUACCACCCCCACCAAUUCCCCAUCUUUCAAUGGUAAGAAAUACGUCCCUCCUAUACGUCCCCGUUGCUAUUGCUUUAUUCCCGGCUGCUGCGGGGCUGAUACCAACGCCAAAAAGGGGCCUAAAACGUGAAAUAGGCAGUUUUGGUCCCUCAAGUUUGCAACAAUUUCACAUUUGGUCCCCUCAUGUUUAUAAAACACACAUUUGAUCCUUCAUGUUUCACAAAUUCAACUUUUUUAGUUCAUUUCCGUCAGUUUUCGUUAAUAAUAACGGAACCAACCGUGUGCUCGUCACUGCCUUAACUCACGGAGUAACGGUAAAUUGACGAAAAAAUACCAAAAAUGUUAAAUUAUUGAAACAUGAGGGACCUAAUAUGUUUUUUGUGAACUUCGGGGACUGAAUAUGAAAUUCGUACAAACUUGAGGAUGAAACUGUAAUUUUUCCUAAUAUAUACAAUGGCGGAGCCAGUAUAGGGCUAAGGGAGGCUAUGAUGGUGUUUCCCACAUUUCUCAAAUUCCUAUUAUUUUAUAUUGAAAUAUAUUUGAAAAAAAAAAUUGUAUAAUAGCAAUAACGGCUCCCAAGAAGAAAAAAAAUAAUGCACUUGGGGCCCUUUUAGAAAUAAGAAGAGUGCGUGUGAUGUGUGUGUAAUUUUCAUAAAGUAAUGUCUUCAUGUAUGGAUAAUGCAUCGUUGUCUAAAGCUCUUUCGUUAGGGAUGAUAGGAUUAUCUAGGAUUGAAUAGUUGUGUUUGGUACUAGAUAUUGUUAUUGUUACUAUUACUAUUUGCUCCGAAUUUGUCAA